AUCAAAGGUGAGCCAGUACAGGAUGGACCCGCGUCUGAUUAGCUAGUUGGUAAGGUAACGGCUUACCAAGGCGACGAUCAGUAGCCGACCUGAGAGGGUGAUCGGCCACAUUGGAACUGAGACACGGUCCAAACUCCUACGGGAGGCAGCAGUGGGGAAUAUUGCACAAUGGGCGAAAGCCUGAUGCAGCAACGCCGCGUGAGUGAUGAAGGCCUUCGGGUCGUAAAACUCUGUCCUCAAGGAAGAUAAUGACGGUACUUGAGGAGGAAGCCCCGGCUAACUACGUGCCAGCAGCCGCGGUAAUACGUAGGGGGCUAGCGUUAUCCGGAUUUACUGGGCGUAAAGGGUGCGUAGGCGGUCUUUCAAGUCAGGAGUGAAAGGCUACGGCUCAACCGUAGUAAGCUCUUGAAACUGGGAGACUUGAGUGCAGGAGAGGAGAGUGGAAUUCCUAGUGUAGCGGUGAAAUGCGUAGAUAUUAGGAGGAACACCAGUUGCGAAGGCGGCUCUCUGGACUGUAACUGACGCUGAGGCACGAAAGCGUGGGGAGCAAACAGGAUUAGAUACCCUGGUAGUCCACGCUGUAAACGAUGAGUACUAGGUGUCGGGGGUUACCCCCCUCGGUGCCGCAGCUAACGCAUUAAGUACUCCGCCUGGGAAGUACGCUCGCAAGAGUGAAACGCAAAGGAAUUGACGGGGACCCGCACAAGUAGCGGAGCAUGUGGUUUAAUUCGAAGCAACGCGAAGAACCUUACCUAAGCUUGACAUCCCAAUGACAUCUCCUUAAUCGG
This 788-nucleotide ribosomal RNA is filed under the name Clostridioides difficile. Its description in RNAcentral is "bacterial SSU rRNA". It matches the Rfam family "Bacterial small subunit ribosomal RNA", at positions 200 to 1009 of the family's 1533-position model. The record is from RNAcentral. Lineage: Bacteria; Bacillati; Bacillota; Clostridia; Peptostreptococcales; Peptostreptococcaceae.